ACGGGAGGCAGCAGUGAGGAAUAUUGGUCAAUGGGCGGAAGCCUGAACCAGCCAUGCCGCGUGAAGGAUUGAGGCCCUAUGGGUCGUAAACUUCUUUUGACGGGGAGCAAUAAGGGUCACGUGUGGCCCGAUGAGAGUACUCGUCGAAUAAGCAUCGGCUAACUCCGUGCCAGCAGCCGCGGUAAUACGGAGGAUGCAAGCGUUAUCCGGAUUUAUUGGGUUUAAAGGGUGCGUAGGCUGUGCCGCAAGUCAGGGGUGAAAUGCCCGGGCCUAACCCGGGAACUGCCUUUGAUACUGCGGUGCUGGAAUACUGUUGCCGUGGGAGGAAUGAGUAGUGUAGCGGUGAAAUGCAUAGAUAUUACUCAGAACACCGAUUGCGAAGGCAUCUCACGAAGCAGCGAUUGACGCUGAGGCACGAAAGCGUGGGGAUCAAACAGGAUUAGAUACCCUGGUA
This 454-nucleotide ribosomal RNA is filed under the name uncultured bacterium. Its description in RNAcentral is "partial 16S ribosomal RNA". It matches the Rfam family "Bacterial small subunit ribosomal RNA", at positions 341 to 792 of the family's 1533-position model. The record is from RNAcentral. RNAcentral also lists the same sequence under 1 other name.